Molecule: RNA transcript, 527 nt
Organism: Patella vulgata (common limpet)
Lineage: Eukaryota; Metazoa; Mollusca; Gastropoda; Patellidae
Exons: 3
Source: RefSeq, a predicted model, not a curated record
AAACAACAACAAAGUCCAAUGCAGCUUGCCUGCACUAGCUGGAGUUACAACUGACUAAUGUAUCGUCGACGUUACCAUUUCCAAAGUCGACUCUCAUAUGAAAUUCUAUCAAUGAGAUCAGGCCUUAUUUGGUAAGAUUUUUAAUGAUACCAAGCUAAAUACCACGACAACGCAAAUAUGACGAAUUACAAUCGUUAUUACAACCAUGAACUUUACGAUAAAGUUCACAACUAUCUCUCAUCCAAGGAAAAUAAACCUUCGACGCCAUCACAUGUUUCAUUUCUUGGUUUCCAGUAUUUUGAUCUCCCACCUGCCCCCAAACAUAAAUAUGAUGAAGUUCAUUCAAGAAUUUUUCUAGGAGAUGGUGUGGUAGCUCAAGACAAAGAACAACUAACAUCAAUGGGUAUAACACACCUGGUCAACUGUUGUGAAGGUACCAAGUUUAAUCAGGUGAAUACCAAUCAGGCUUACUACGACGAUAUCAACAUAAAAUAUCACGGUAUCCAGGCCCAGGAUGUAGCUGCUUU